GGCCUUGCCGGAGCUUCCUCCUCGGCCAGCGUUGUUGUUGGCGUCGUCAUUGUUGUUUGGUUGUUGUUGUUUUUCCCCGCUGCGUGUGCUGUUGUGGUUGUUCAGCUGUCGCGAUCGGCGAUCGCCUUGCCCUACCGUCUCGCUGUCGUCGAAGUCGACGUUGUGGCCACUCUCUCUCUCCUCACCGUACUUUUGCCAUUUUUGGUGGUUGUUCAAGGUUCAAGUAAACCACAAUGCACCACUUUGUUGACAAGGAGUCGAGAUCAAUUAAAAAGUCAAAGGCAUCCUAUGAGUGAUAUUUCAAAUGUUGUUUCAAGAUUUGGAAAACAAGUGGAAGAAAAUCAAAAUGUAGAUAUAUCAAUCAUAAAGAACGGAGGAACUACUGAAAAGGGCAAUUACAAAUUAGCUAGAGCAAACAUGAAGUACAUAUUACAUCAAAAGCGUACAAAAAAUGAAAGAAUUGUACAUGAGUCUUUGCUAUCUCCACAUGACUGCGUGUCUAAAGGAAUUGAACAACGCGUUGCAAUGAACAAAAGGAAAAUAAUAUUAUCACAGAAACGUGAAACGUG
Molecule: long non-coding RNA, 569 nt
Organism: Beta vulgaris subsp. vulgaris (sugar beet)
Lineage: Eukaryota; Viridiplantae; Streptophyta; Magnoliopsida; Caryophyllales; Amaranthaceae
Exons: 4
Source: RefSeq, a predicted model, not a curated record